UUUCAGGGAUCAGCCAAACAAUAUCAAAGAAUCGUUGACUGUGUUCAAACAAUUGUAAGGGAGGAAGGAGUUCCUGCUCUCUUAAAGGGUAUUGGGCCAAGAGUGUUGUGGAUAGGUAUUGGAGGUUCAAUCUUCUUUGGUGUCCUCGAGAGCACUAAGAGAACACUUGCACAGAGACGUCCCAAUACGGUUAAAGAAACCAAAGUGGGUUCCCAAUACGUUAUCUAACGAGCACAGCGAACUUUGGUCGUAAUUCAUUUUUAAUUCAGACUUUGUUGCUCAAUUUAGAUGUUGAACUUCAAUCGUCAAAUGUCAGUUGUAUUAUAUUUAGAAA
Long non-coding RNA from Arabidopsis lyrata subsp. lyrata, 334 nucleotides. RefSeq lists it as uncharacterized. The transcript has 2 exons. NCBI's taxonomy places the organism in Eukaryota, Viridiplantae, Streptophyta, Magnoliopsida, Brassicales, Brassicaceae. The record is from RefSeq and is a predicted model, not a curated record.